ACGGGUGAGUAAUGCAUAGGAAUCUGCCUAAUAGACUGGGACAACUUGGGGAAACUCGAGCUAAUACCGGAUAUCCUCUACGGAGGAAAGGAUGGGACUUGAAAGAGCCAUUCGCUAAUAGAUGAGCCUAUGUCGGAUUAGCUAGUUGGUGGGGUAAAGGCCUACCAAGGCGAUGAUCUGUAGCUGGUCUGAGAGGAUGGACAGCCACACUGGGACUGAGACACGGCCCAGACUCCUACGGGAGGCAGCAGUGGGGAAUAUUGGACAAUGGGGGAAACCCUGAUCCAGCGAUGCCGCGUGUGCGAAGAAGGCCUGCGGGUUGUAAAGCACUUUGGUUGGGGAAGAAGGCUGGGGGUUGAAUAAACCUCUGGAUUGACGUUACCCAAAGAACAAGCACCGGCUAACUCUGUGCCAGCAGCCGCGGUAAUACAGAGGGUGCGAGCGUUAAUCGGAAUUACUGGGCGUAAAGGGUGCGUAGGCGGAUGUUUAAGUUAGAUGUGAAAUCCCCGGGCUUAACCUGGGAAUUGCAUUUGAUACUGGACGUCUAGAGUAGAGUAGAGGGAAGUGGAAUUUCCGGUG
Molecule: ribosomal RNA, 579 nt
Filed under: uncultured bacterium
Lineage: Bacteria
Description: bacterial SSU rRNA
Rfam family: Bacterial small subunit ribosomal RNA
Source: RNAcentral